UCGAACGGAUCUUGGGGCAACUCAAGGUUAGUGGCGGACGGGUGAGGAAUGCGUCGGAAUCUACCCUAUGGUGGGGGAUAACACAGGGAAACUUGUGCUAAUACCGCAUGAUGUCGAGAGACCAAAGCAGGGGACCUGAGAGGGCCUUGCGCGAUAGGAUGAGCCGACGCCCGAUUAGCUAGUUGGUAGGGUAAAGGCCUACCAAGGCGACGAUCGGUAGCUGGUCUGAGAGGAUGAUCAGCCACACUGGGACUGAGACACGGCCCAGACUCCUACGGGAGGCAGCAGUGGGGAAUAUUGGACAAUGGGCGCAAGCCUGAUCCAGCAAUGCCGCGUGUGUGAAGAAGGCCUGCGGGUUGUAAAGCACUUUUGUUCGGGAAGAAAACGGACCGGUUAAUACCCGGUUCGGAUGACGGUACCGAAAGAAUAAGCACCGGCUAACUUCGUGCCAGCAGCCGCGGUAAUACGAAGGGUGCAAGCGUUAAUCGGAAUUACUGGGCGUAAAGCGUGCGUAGGCGGCUUUUUAAGUCGGAUGUGAAAUCCCCGGGCUCAACCUGGGAAUGGCAUCCGAUACUGGGGAGCUGGAGUUUGGGAGAGGGUGGUGGAAUUCCCGGUGUAGCGGUGAAAUGCGUAGAGAUCGGGAGGAACAUCAGUGGCGAAGGCGGCCACCUGGCCUAUAACUGACGCUGAGGCACGAAAGCGUGGGGAGCAAACAGGAUUAGAUACCCUGGUAGUCCACGCCCUAAACGAUGAGAACUGGACGUUGGGAGGAAUUCGCCUCUUAGUGUCGAAGCUAACGCGUGAAGUUCUCCGCCUGGGGAGUACGCUCG
RNAcentral lists this ribosomal RNA (830 nucleotides) under uncultured bacterium. Its description in RNAcentral is "bacterial SSU rRNA". It matches the Rfam family "Bacterial small subunit ribosomal RNA", at positions 62 to 888 of the family's 1533-position model. The record is from RNAcentral.